CGCACAGAAGUAACUUGGUGGAAGAGCAAUGUCGCCUGUAGAAUUCAGCUGACUGUCGAGUUUCACCCUGGUUGCCAACUGCCUAACGGUGGGGGUUAAUCGGUGGUGUUGAUUUGAUGGUUGGUGCACUUUCUUCAGGUGAGCGCAAGGAUCGCUUGGUGCGUCGGCAAAAGUCUUAACGGAGCCGCCUCGGGGUCAAACCUGGGAGCGUACGUUGAGUAACCGGUCGAAUGUAUCGAGUGAGAUCACACUCUGGCCGCAUGUCUCUCAGUAGGCGUCAUAUCUUGCAGCUACCGUGUGGUUUGUCAUGAAUUUGGCAAAUACAUGGUGCCGUCUUGUUAGUGGCGUUUGCGUACGAGAGAUGUCAGAUAUGAUCUUUUGCGUCCGAGUCUCGCACCCACCUAUAUCGUCUUGAAACACGAGCCGAGAAGUCUAACAGAUGCGCAAGUCAAUGGGCUAUCAAAUAACCCCAAAGGCGCAAUGAAAGUAAAGUCGUGGCCUUGUGCUCGGCGAGCUGAGAUCCGCAGGUUCUCUGCGGCGCAUCAGCGUCCCAUCUUAAGAACCUUCGGGCUUCUGAGGUGGAGAUUGAGCGUAUCUGUUAGGACCCGAAAGAUGGUGAACUAUSCCUGUGUAGACUGAASCCAGAAGAAAUUCUGGUGGAAGGUCGUAGCGGUUUU
RNAcentral lists this ribosomal RNA (677 nucleotides) under Tripyloides sp. AUK45. RNAcentral's name for it is "eukaryotic LSU rRNA". It matches the Rfam family "Eukaryotic large subunit ribosomal RNA", at positions 406 to 887 of the family's 3401-position model. The record is from RNAcentral. Lineage: Eukaryota; Metazoa; Nematoda; Enoplea; Enoplida; Tripyloididae.